GCCGCGCGCCGGGCCCCCGAGACGGGGAGGGGCGGGGGCCCGGGGGAGGUGCGCGCGCCGAGUUCCGCGUAACUAGCGGGGACGCGCGCGCGGCGCGGCCUCCCCUCCCCCACCCUCCCCCCACUCCCCUCAGGCCCGCGGCUCCCCGAGGUGGGCUCUUGCGAGGCCUAGCGGGGGCGGGGCCUGGGGCCGGGCUCGAGCCGGGGCGCCCCUCCCCGCCUCCGCCUCCGCCUCCGCCCUCGCCCAGUGCUCUGGCGGCUCGGGCCUGGUCAACGCGAGCUCGGGGCUGGGUAGCCCGCGCCACCGUCAGGUUGCUAGGAUGAUUAUGCAGAUCUCUCAGAUAUAGGGAAAAAAUUCAGCCACCUCACCCAGAUUCUGCAAUCCCUACGAGGCUGCAUCUGAAAUACUGAAGAGAUGAGGACACUGAACUUAGUGAGAAAGGCAGCUAAUCAAUGGCAGAUCAUGUAUGCUUUCCAGUUAUCGUGAAAAUGAAGACCGAGGCUACCUGGCACCUUCGUCAAUCACAUGUGUGGUUUAGAGGCGGGGUCUGGUAUGGAGCAGAGGUGCAAUUAAUAUUCAUUAAAUGGAGAUGUCUUUCUGGCCCCACUCAGCCUUUUUCCGGACCACCCACUUCCCGACUCUUUGCUGUGUGGGAGAAUCCAGACAUCUUGUACAGCUGCAGCUCAGUGUGUCCCAUUUUGGCUGGAAUUCAAGGAGCAACUAUAGACAAAUAAGUAUUAUUACAACUGCAUCAAUCAACAUCUCUCUCCUCAAAUGCUCUCACGAGGAAACAAGAAUGAUCUCAUCCUCACCAAGGCUCCUAUCGUCCUCUGCCGCAAGGAACAAGGAUGAGGAAUUUGGGCUGCGGCUGGCUGCUGAAGCCACGUGCUGACAGACAAUCCCGGAACAGCUGCAAUGUCAUUGUAAGCCUUGAAAUUAAAAUAAAAUCCAUUGAUUUAUAAGAGGAAAACAGGGUCAACACUAGUGGGGUCAGAAGAACCAAUUCCGAAAGCCCUUGGGUUGGCCUAAAUCCUACAUAUAAAAUGGGUGGUGGAAGUGUUUGCCAUGGAAACCAUCAGAGGGAAGCUGAGGGAAUCCAGGUCUUGGCAGGUGAUUGCAGCCGUUGUUGCUGGCACACAGCACACCAGGGGAAAUAACUGAGGCCUCAGUAAAUAGGAAAUCUGGAGGGGCCAGAGCCUAGGCUCAAUGUAUUUUGUAAGGGGAAGGCUUCCUCACUGAGGAUGGGGAAUCUGCUUUCCAAACUGUAUGGUCAGCAACUUUGUGUAUUUUGUGUCUGUAGGAGUUUAUUUUAGCUCUGUGGUGAAGCUUUUUUUUUUCUUUUUUAACAAAACUUUGAAUAGGGUGCCCACAAGGUAUUUGCUUGCGGCUUUAUUUCCCUCCCUGCCUGGGUAUGGAGAGGUGAGCAGCACUCUUCCCCUGACUCAAGCAAACCCCUUCCUCUCUUUGUGCCUCAAUUUCCCCAUCACACAAUGAGGAUGUGAGAUUAAAUGAGCACUUCCCAGAUGCACUUUUUAGAGAAGUGUUUGAACAAAACUUGGGUGAGGUAUUGGGCGGAUGGGAUUUAAGUGUCCUAGUACUAAGAUGACUGUGUGCAAGUUAAAUUCAAGUUGGCGUGCAAACUGCCUCGGCUUUUGGCUGCAGAGUGAGGGCAAGCUUGACUCCUGUUCCUCACCCCAAAUCUGCACAACUUGGCUUGCUUCUUCCCCCCUGGAUGUUCUCCAAGGUUCUUCCCAGCUCUGACAGGGAGAGCGCUGCUGUAGGCUAUGUGUCCUCAGCCCUCAGAGGUAGCUGUGGCAAUUGCAAUUUCAUUUUUCCUGGAGGACAAGUUCCCCUGGACUAUUGCAGACCGCUGCACAGGCUUUAUUAUGGAA
Molecule: long non-coding RNA, 1892 nt
Organism: Aethalodelphis obliquidens (Pacific white-sided dolphin)
Lineage: Eukaryota; Metazoa; Chordata; Mammalia; Artiodactyla; Delphinidae
Exons: 5
Source: RefSeq, a predicted model, not a curated record